AACGCGUACCAUACGGUGUGGCAGACGGGUGAGUACGCGUGCGAACAUGCCCUCUGGUUCGGAAUAACUCAGGGAAACUUGAGCUAAUACCGGAUACGUGCGAGGCAACUUGGAGAAAGAUUUAUCGCCGGAGGAUUGGCCCGCGUCUGAUUAGCUAGUUGGUGGGGUAAUGGCUCACCAAGGCGACGAUCAGUAGCUGGUCUGAGAGGAUGAUCAGCCACAUUGGGACUGGGACACGGCCCAAACUCCUACGGGAGGCAGCAGUGGGGAAUAUUGGACAAUGGGCGCAAGCCUGAUCCAGCCAUGCCGCGUGAGUGAUGAAGGCCUUAGGGUUGUAAAGCUCUUUUACCCGGGAAGAUAAUGACGGUACCGGGAGAAUAAGCCCCGGCCAACUUCGUGCCAGCAGCCGCGGUAAU
Molecule: ribosomal RNA, 416 nt
Filed under: uncultured bacterium
Lineage: Bacteria
Description: bacterial SSU rRNA
Rfam family: Bacterial small subunit ribosomal RNA
Source: RNAcentral